Molecule: long non-coding RNA, 1353 nt
Organism: Macaca mulatta (Rhesus monkey)
Lineage: Eukaryota; Metazoa; Chordata; Mammalia; Primates; Cercopithecidae
Source: RefSeq, a predicted model, not a curated record
UGUGUAGCUGAAGUGAGCAAGUAAAUAUGUCUUAAUGUCCAGUGCAAGCAGAUACCUGUCUGAUAGUGAAGUUGCAACGUCAAAAGAAUCCUCCAAAUGCUCAGCAAUUGGUGGCACCAGGUACUUUUGGAAACAAGGAUGAAGUUGUGGCUAAAAACAGAAACUACUGAAGAAUGUGCUCCACCAAAACAGUGCUGUGAGUCAAGAAAGAGGAAGAGGUGGAAUUCAGGAACCAGAGCACUCAACACAGAGGUGAAGAGAGUCCCCAGGAUGUGGGUGAAGGGAAGUCCCAAGAUGACAGAUGUACAGCAGGCCUAGAGGUCAGUCAGCUCAGAAAGGAGCAGAUCGGUAGGUCUGGAAGAGCUCGCUUCCAGAUAAAAUUGAUGGAAUACCAAGUUUGUUCGGACAUAAUGAGAGGAGACUUAAACAGCUAGAGAGGAGUAUGGAUUAAAUUAGUGACAUAUGCACAGAAAAACUAGGCAGAUGAAAAAUGAGACCAUUAUUAACCCCAGAGAAAGCAAAACCGUUUUGAAGAAAGUGAUCAUAAUUUAUUACACAACACAGGUGUGAAUAGUAUUUAUUUGAUCAUAGUAAUAUAAACACUGAGUGUCAGUUUAAUAAUGACAUAGAAAUAUAAGCCCAUGCAGUAUAGGAAGAGGCGAAAACUGAAUCCCCAUCUUCCACAGUGGAAAGUCAAUAGAGAAAACUAAGAAGUAGCUAUUUAGAGAUACAAUGAUUUCUCUCCUCCCCCUAAAAAAAGAUUUAGUGAAAGCAUUGAAAGUGAUUUCCUCUGAGGAGUGGGAAAUGAAGGGGUGGAGUGGGGGAAUGCUAUUUCUUGUAAUUAGUAAUUUAGAAGUAUUUGAUUCUUUAAACUAUGUGCAUAUUUAACUUUGAUGUUUAAAAAAACUAAAUAAAACUCAGUAAUCAUUUUUCCUUUGCUGUAUGAAAAAGGGAGGAGGUGAGAUGGAAAAUGCGCAUCAUUCCUAGCUGAUAAGGAAACUGGGCAGGCAAAAUGAAACUUGCUUGUUCCAUGAGUCCAUCAGCCCAGCAGGGUCAAUGUCUUUUCAAUCUUCUUGAGGCAGAAGAAAAGCUAUGAGCAACUGGGAAAUUAAAACUUAAAUUCCUUUGAAAGAGCCAUUAAUGCCAAACUGACCUGAAAUCUGGGGCUACCCUAAGAGGGUUUUGGCCCAAAUAAAUAGUCCAGGAUAAGUACAAAGAAAGGGUUCUUUCAAAUGCAAAAAUGAAACCAGGAUUAUAUUAAGGGAGCUAGUAACAGCAAUUGAGUGUAAGCAGAAUGCAUUCUUAAUUAUGUCUAAUAUGAAUUUCUUUAAAUUCUUUAAAUGCCAGUUGUUU